Molecule: long non-coding RNA, 254 nt
Filed under: Elaeis guineensis (African oil palm)
Lineage: Eukaryota; Viridiplantae; Streptophyta; Magnoliopsida; Arecales; Arecaceae
Description: long non-coding RNA (EGUI_LNC014045)
Source: RNAcentral
UUAUUUGGAUUUUCUAUUAUGCUAAUCUAGGUUUACCAUUAUGGAACCUUCCAUCCACAAUCUAUCACUUCUCUACAUAAUCCUAGCUCUCCAGAGAAUACGACUUAAGACAAUACACUCAUAUUUUCUCAACUCUCCAUUUUCCUGCCUUAACAAUCUUCCCUCCAAUUCAAGAGCAACUGAGGAAAAACUACACAAACUCCCUAUCCUAACCCUUGGAUGUAGGACAAACCCUUCCCUCAUUUAAUCUUAGC